RNAcentral lists this ribosomal RNA (468 nucleotides) under uncultured bacterium. RNAcentral's name for it is "partial 16S ribosomal RNA". It matches the Rfam family "Bacterial small subunit ribosomal RNA", at positions 28 to 507 of the family's 1533-position model. The record is from RNAcentral.
GACGAACGCUGGCGGCGUGCUUAACACAUGCAAGUCGAACGGUAAGGCCCUGCUUUUGUGGGGUGCUCGAGUGGCGAACGGAUGAGUAACACGUGAGUAACCUGCCCUUGACUCUGGGUUAACUUCAGGAAACUGGGGCUAAUACCGGAUAGGAGCUCCUGCUGCAUGGUGGGGGUUGGAAAGUUUCGGCGGUUGGGGAUGGACUCGCGGCUUAUCAGCUUGUUGGUGGGGUAGUGGCUUACCAAGGCUUUGACGGGUAGCCGGCCUGAGAGGGUGACCGGCCACAUUGGGACUGAGAUACGGCCCAGACUCCUACGGGAGGCAGCAGUGGGGAAUAUUGCACAAUGGGCGGAAGCCGGAUGCAGCAACGCCGCGUGCGGGAUGACGGCCUUCGGGUUGUAAACCGCUUUCGCCUGUGACGAAGCGUGAGUGACGGUAAUGGGUAAAGAAGCACCGGCUAACUACGUG